GUGUCAGCCGCCGCGGUAAUACGGAGGGCGCAAGCGUUGUUCGGAAUUACUGGGCGUAAAGCGCGUGUAGGCGGUCUGGUAAGUCGGUUGUGAAAUCCCCGGGCUCAACCCGGGAACUGCAUCCGAAACUUCCAGGCUAGAGUUUCGGAGAGGAAGGCAGAAUUCCCAAUGUAGGGGUGAAAUCCGUAGAUAUUGGGAGGAAUACCAGUGGCGAAGGCGGCCUUCUGGACGAUGACUGACGCUGAGACGCGAAAGCGUGGGGAGCAAACAGGAUUAGAUACCCUCGUAGUCC
Molecule: ribosomal RNA, 292 nt
Filed under: uncultured bacterium
Lineage: Bacteria
Description: partial 16S ribosomal RNA
Rfam family: Bacterial small subunit ribosomal RNA
Source: RNAcentral